Oxyura jamaicensis (ruddy duck) is the source of this 1990-nucleotide long non-coding RNA. RefSeq lists it as uncharacterized. The transcript has 2 exons. The record is from RefSeq and is a predicted model, not a curated record. NCBI's taxonomy places the organism in Eukaryota, Metazoa, Chordata, Aves, Anseriformes, Anatidae.
CUGCUGCGAGGUUUUGACAAAAUAACAGAAGCUGAAAUUCUGAAGAGUAUUUUGCACCUUGAUGCAGAUGACAGUGCUGUAUAUCACUGUAUGGGUUCUGUCAAGGAGUUUGUGUGAAAUGAAAGGAGUACAAUGCCAUAAGCCUACUUGGCUGUGCUCCAUCCCAAACUGUAAGAAAAGCCUAGCAAAGGCCCAUAGCAUUAAAAAUAGUACUGAUAUUUAAGAGGUACUUAUUCUGAAGAGCUACUGUCCAAAUCAAAGUAUGGAUUUGAGCUUCUCCCAGUUUUGGUAAAUCAACUAUAACCCUUACUUCUGGUAUACUUCCUGUGAUCCAACGAAAGUAUAUAGUACAGAGUGAUAUUACAGCACACUGGUGUAAAUUAGUUUUGUCACAGCGUGUAUGAUCUUUCAAUUGCGUUUCACACAGACCUUGAUGGAGGAAGUGAUUUCCAAAGAGAUAUUAUUCCCCUAUUGGCUAAAGAGAGCACAAAAUCACCCACGGAAUCAAGGAGCUGGAACCAGCUCUCAGGUUAUUGCUGAUAUUAAGUAGAAGCCUGUGCUGCACAAAGGAUAAGUUAAAUUCCUCAUGCUGCAACGAACCCUGAGACAACCCAAAGAACGCAUCAAGAUAAUGGCUAGUUCAUGAGAGAAAUACAGAACUGGAAGCAAAUACAUCUCAGCUGAAGCACUGACAAAUAAUUUAAGACAGAGAAAAAACAAAUAAUAGUCUAUUCCACCCAUCAGCCAAGUCUGAGAUCCAUGAUUUGCUGUUGGUGCUAGGAGAACAGCAGCAACAGAAAAACAUCAGCUUUAUAAGCACUGCUGCCAACUCCUGAAAUCUGCCAAGACGACAGUAACACUUCAGCAGAACAAUACUUAAAGUUGAUCACAGAUAAAUAAUUUUUGAGCAGGCCAGGAACAACUUGUGAUCAGCUACAAAAAUUCCAGGCUCCCUUUUCUUCCUGUCAGAUCUUACCUAACAUGUCCUUUUCUUUACCCUCCCUUAUUUAUUUUCUGUUUGCUAAUUAUGGCUUAGUCGGGUGAAAUUGAAUAUUGACCAACACUACAAUAAACCUAGUAGCGAGGAAGGGGCCAAAACCAGAAAAGCCUGAUAGCAAUAGAAGUUUGCCAGGUAUCAGCUCAACUGAUAAUGCUAUGCCUCACUUGAGCUUCAAGUUUAUAAGCAAGAGUAAGCUUCCAAAUUAUAAACUACUUUUUCCUCUCUGUGUAAUUCUUUUGUUUCUCUGAUUUCCAGUGUUUUUCCUUUCUUCUGUCCAAAGAAAGCAGGACUGGACUUCCACGAGCAAAACACUGAGCACCAAAACACGUUGUUCAACUUACUCUUUUUCCUUCACAACUACAAUAUCUUCAUUGAUGUCAUCUAAAAAGCUGCAAUUCUGGGAGAAAAAAAAAAAAAAAAAAAAAAAAAAAAAACAUAAACAACAACAAUUUUGAAACCCUUGAUUAUGCUUGUUUGCUAAAGAGUUCACAAACUCAGACUCCUACAUGCAAAACAUCAAAUACUUCUUAACCACUAAAUAUCAUUCCUGUAAAAAUGGUGAAUUUGUUCCUUAAUGCCUUUAUCUUUCUCACCUUUUGCCCACUGAACAUCAUAUACACAAAAUCCUCUCUCCUGUCGCUGCUGUUGCUCUCUACCACAGAUCUCGGAUAUGAGCAAACGAGAAUUUUGAAUUCUAAGUGGAAAGCGGUGUACAAGUCAGAAUGAAUUAAGGUUUUGGUUGACAUUUUUUUUUUUGCACUGAGCCUCCCUUUAUGAGAAGGAGGUGUUGCAACAUCAGUGCUUUGAACUGGAAUUCAUGAUGAACUAAUACUUAAAAUUAGUUCAUCAUAAAUUCAUGAGUACAUCAGUUAUAUGCUUCAGAAAAUGUGGAUUAGGCACCUAAGUUCAAUACAAUCCUGUAGCAAACACUUUAAGCAUAUUUUGGUCAUUACUCAACAGAUGUUUUCCCUUUCUUUUUUCCUUUUUUUU